UCCUAACCUGUGAGAUGGCUACUUGACAAAUUGAUAUUUAGUGUAAAACACAAUCAAAUUAAAGAUAUAAAAUCAUACAACACAAUCAAAUUAAAGAUGUAAAUUCAUUAAUUAAAAAUAGUGGUUACAAACAUAGUUCAAAUAGCCUUUAGUUACAUUAAAAUCUUCACAUACAUCAUUGCGACGCAAACAAACAGUACAACCAAAUACAACUUUAUCUUAAAAAUUCUUCUAUCUGUAAACUAAGAAGAAGUAAUUUAAUUACUAUUUUAUACGAAACCACAUUUAU
RNAcentral lists this long non-coding RNA (289 nucleotides) under Ananas comosus (pineapple). RNAcentral describes it as "long non-coding RNA (ACOM_LNC024446)". Lineage: Eukaryota; Viridiplantae; Streptophyta; Magnoliopsida; Poales; Bromeliaceae. The record is from RNAcentral.